Molecule: ribosomal RNA, 1326 nt
Filed under: metagenome
Description: bacterial LSU rRNA
Rfam family: Bacterial large subunit ribosomal RNA
Source: RNAcentral
AGUGGAUGGGGAGCAACCUAGUUGUGCGUGUGUAAAGGUAGUGCCAAGAAAAGCGGUGAUCAUGAUGAAAAUCAAUUCCCGGUACCCGAAACCGACACAGGUGGGCAAGUAGAGAAUACUAAGGGGCGCGAGGUAACUCUCUCCAAGGAACUCGGCAAAAUGACCCCGUAACUUAGGGAGAAGGGGUGCCACCGAGAGGUGGUCGCAGUGAAGAGGCCCAGGCGACUGUUUAGCAAAAACAUAGGUCUCUGCAAACUCGAAAGAGGAGGUAUAGGGGCUGACGCCUGCCCAGUGCCGGAAGGUUAAAGAAGUUGGUCAGUCUUAGGACAAAGCUAGCGACUGAAGCCCCGGUGAACGGCGGCCGUAACUAUAACGGUCCUAAGGUAGCGAAAUUCCUUGUCGGGUAAGUUCCGACCCGCACGAAAGGCGUAACGAUCUGGGCGCUGUCUCGGAGAGAGGCUCGGCGAAAUAGGAUUGUCUGUGAAGAUACGGACUACCUGCAUUUGGACAGAAAGACCCUAUGAAGCUUUACUAUAGCUUGGAAUUGUGUUCGGGCUUCCUGUGCGCAGGAUAGGUGGGAGGCGUAGAAGGUAUUCUUGUGGGGAUACUGGAGCCAACGGUGAGAUACCACUCUCAGGAGGCUAGAAUUCUAACUUAAUUAAGGACAGUUUCAGGUGGGUAGUUUGACUGGGGCGGUCGCCUCCAAAAAGGUAACGGAGGCGUACAAAGGUUCCCUCAGACUGGUUGGAAAUCAGUCGAAGAGUGCAAAGGCAGAAGGGAGCUUGACUGCGAGAAGUACAGUUCGAGCAGGGUGGAAACACGGUCUUAGUGAUCCGACGGUUCUGUGUGGAAGGGCCGUCGCUCAACGGAUAAAAGUUACUCUAGGAUAACAGGCUGAUCUCCCCCAAGAGUUCACAUCGACGGGGAGGUUUGGCACCUCGAUGUCGGCUCAUCGCAACCUGGGGCGGAAGUACGUCCCAAGGGUUGGGCUGUUCGCCCAUUAAAGCGGUACGUGAGCUGGGUUCAGAACGUCGCGAGACAGUUCGGUCCAUAUCCGAUGUAGGCGUGAGAAUAUUGAGAGGAGCCUUCCUUAGUACGAGAGGACCGGGAAGGACGCACCGCUGGUGUACCUGUUAUGAUGCCAAUUGUAAACGCAGGGUAGCCAAGUGCGGAGAGGAUAACCGCUGAAAGCAUCUAAGUGGGAAGCCCACCUCAAGAUGAGUAUUCUGGUGUAAGGUCACGGGAAGACGACCCGUAAAUAGGCACGAGGUGGAAGUGCAGAGAUGUAUGAAGCCGAAGUGUACUAAUAGACCGUCGGCUUGACCG